GGCUCAGGAUGAACGCUAGCGGCAGGCUUAACACAUGCAAGUCGAGGGCAGCAUAAACAUUGCUUGCAAUGUUUGAUGGCGACCGGCGCACGGGUGCGUAACGCGUAUGCAACCUACCCAUAACAGGGGGAUAACACUGAGAAAUUGGUACUAAUACCCCGUAACAUCAGAAGAGGCAUCUUUUUGGUUGAAAGUUCCGGCGGUUAUGGAUAGGCUCGCGUGACAUUAGCUGGAUGGCGGGGUAACGGCCCACCAUGGCGACGAUGUCUAGGGGUUCUGAGAGGAAGGUCCCCCACACUGGAACUGAGACACGGUCCAGACUCCUACGGGAGGCAGCAGUGAGGAAUAUUGGUCAAUGGCCGGGAGGCUGAACCAGCCAUGCCGCGUGAAGGUCACGGCCCUAUGGGUCUUAAACUUCUUUUGUAAGGGAGCAAUAAGGUUCACGUGUGGACUGAUGAGAGUACCUUACGAAUAAGCAUCGGCUAACUCCGUG
This 493-nucleotide ribosomal RNA is filed under the name uncultured bacterium. RNAcentral's name for it is "bacterial SSU rRNA". It matches the Rfam family "Bacterial small subunit ribosomal RNA", at positions 21 to 507 of the family's 1533-position model. The record is from RNAcentral.